GACGAACGCUGGGCGGCGUGCUUAACACAUGCAAGCGAACGCUGAAGCCCGGGCUUGCCCGGGUGGAUGAGUGGCGAACGGGUGAGUAACACGUGAGUAACCUGCCCCUGACUCUGGGAUAAGCGCUGGAAACGGCGUCUAAUACUGGAUAUGUCCCAUCACCGCAUGGUGUGUGGGUGGAAAGAUUUAUCGGUUGGGGAUGGACUCGCGGCCUAUCAGCUAGAUGGUGAGGUAAUGGCUCACCAUGGCGACGACGGGUAGCCGGCCUGAGAGGGUGACCGGCCACACUGGGACUGAGACACGGCCCAGACUCCUACGGGAGGCAGCAGUGGGGAAUAUUGCACAAUGGGCGCAAGCCUGAUGCAGCAACGCCGCGUGAGGGAUGACGGCCUUCGGGUUGUAAACCUCUUUUAGUAGGGAAGAAGCGAAAGUGACGGUACCUGCAGAAAAAGCACCGGCUAACUACGUG
This 469-nucleotide ribosomal RNA is filed under the name uncultured bacterium. RNAcentral's name for it is "bacterial SSU rRNA". It matches the Rfam family "Bacterial small subunit ribosomal RNA", at positions 28 to 507 of the family's 1533-position model. The record is from RNAcentral.